Molecule: non-coding RNA, 73 nt
Organism: Anisakis simplex (herring worm)
Lineage: Eukaryota; Metazoa; Nematoda; Chromadorea; Rhabditida; Anisakidae
Source: Rfam
GGCCUCGUGGCCCAAUGGACAAGGCGUCGGACUUCGGAUCCGAAGAUUGCAGGUUCGAGUCCUGCCGGGGUCG